CGUUCAACCGCAAAAGAAGCAGAGGGGGCUUAGUGGUGGGGUGACUGCGUACCUUUUGUAUAAUGGGUCAGCGACUUAUAUUCUGUAGCAAGGUUAACCGUAUAGGGGAGCCGGAGGGAAACCGAGUCUUAAUUGGGCGUUAAGUUGCAGGGUAUAGACCCGAAACCCGGUGAUCUAGCCAUGGGCAGGUUGAAGGUUGGGUAACACUAACUGGAGGACCGAACCGACUAAUGUUGAAAAAUUAGCGGAUGACCUGUGGCUGGGGGUGAAAGGCCAAUCAAACCGGGAGAUAGCUGGUUCUCCCCGAAAGCUAUUUAGGUAGCGCCUCGUGAAUUCAUCUCCGGGGGUAGAGCACUGUUUCGGCUAGGGGGCCAUCCCGGCUUACCAACCCGAUGCAAACUGCGAAUACCGGAGAAUGUUAUCACGGGAGACACACGGCGGGUGCUAACGUCCGUCGUGAAGAGGGAAACAACCCAGACCGCCAGCUAAGGUCCCAAAGUCAUGGUUAAGUGGGAAACGAUGUGGGAAGGCCCAGACAGCCAGGAUGUUGGCUUAGAAGCAGCCAUCAUUUAAAGAAAGCGUAAUAGCUCACUGGUCGAGUCGGCCUGCGCGGAAGAUGUAACGGGGCUAAACCAUGCACCGAAGCUGCGGCAGCGAACGUAUCACUUAAAGCGAUUCAGCGGGUUACGAUUGACGGAGCGAAGCGACGUCAAAGCGUAUACAAAGUCGAGUCGGUUUAAGGAUACGUUCGUUGGGUAGGGGAGCGUUCUGUAAGCCUGUGAAGGUGUGUCGUGAGGCAUGCUGGAGGUAUCAGAAGUGCGAAUGCUGACAUAAGUAACGAUAAAGCGGGUGAAAAGCCCGCUCGCCGGAAGACCAAGGGUUCCUGUCCAACGUUAAUCGGGGCAGGGUGAGUCGACCCCUAAGGCGAGGCCGAAAGGCGUAGUCGAUGGGAAACGGGUUAAUAUUCCCGUACUUGGUGUUACUGCGAAGGGGGGACGGAGAAGGCUAUGUUGGCCGGGCGACGGUUGUCCCGGUUUAAGCGUGUAGGUGUGUGUUCCAGGUAAAUCCGGUUCACUUUAACACUGAGGCGUGAUGACGAGGCACUACGGUGCUGAAGCAACAAAUGCCCUGCUUCCAGGAAAAGCCUCUAAGCAUCAGGUAACAUCAAAUCGUACCCCAAACCGACACAGGUGGUCAGGUAGAGAAUACCAAGGCGCUUGAGAGAACUCGGGUGAAGGAACUAGGCAAAAUGGUGCCGUAACUUCGGGAGAAGGCACGCUGACAUGUAGGUGAAGUGAUUUACUCAUGGAGCUGAAGUCAGUCGAAGAUACCAGCUGGCUGCAACUGUUUAUUAAAAACACAGCACUGUGCAAACACGAAAGUGGACGUAUACGGUGUGACGCCUGCCCGGUGCCGGAAGGUUAAUUGAUGGGGUCAGCGCAAGCGAAGCUCCUGAUCGAAGCCCCGGUAAACGGCGGCCGUAACUAUAACGGUCCUAAGGUAGCGAAAUUCCUUGUCGGGUAAGUUCCGACCUGCACGAAUGGCGUAAUGAUGGCCAGGCUGUCUCCACCCGAGACUCAGUGAAAUUGAACUCGCUGUGAAGAUGCAGUGUACCCGCGGCAAGACGGAAAGACCCCGUGAACCUUUACUAUAGCUUGACACUGAACAUUGAGCCUUGAUGUGUAGGAUAGGUGGGAGGCUUUGAAGCGUGGACGCCAGUCUGCGUGGAGCCGGCCUUGAAAUACCACCCUUUAAUGUUUGAUGUUCUAACGUGGACCCGU
Molecule: ribosomal RNA, 1781 nt
Filed under: Salmonella enterica subsp. enterica serovar Derby
Lineage: Bacteria; Pseudomonadati; Pseudomonadota; Gammaproteobacteria; Enterobacterales; Enterobacteriaceae
Description: partial 23S ribosomal RNA
Rfam family: Bacterial large subunit ribosomal RNA
Source: RNAcentral